This 202-nucleotide ribosomal RNA is filed under the name uncultured bacterium. RNAcentral describes it as "partial 16S ribosomal RNA". It matches the Rfam family "Bacterial small subunit ribosomal RNA", at positions 924 to 1131 of the family's 1533-position model. The record is from RNAcentral.
CACAAGCAGUGGAGUAUGUGGUUUAAUUCGACGCAACGCGAAGAACCUUACCAAGUCUUGACAUCCUGUGACGAUGCUGGAAACAGUAUUUUCCUUCGGGACGCAGAGACAGGUGGUGCAUGGUUGUCGUCAGCUCGUGUCGUGAGAUGUUGGGUUAAGUCCCGCAACGAGCGCAACCCUUACGGUCAGUACUACGCAAGAG